This 825-nucleotide small RNA is filed under the name Histoplasma ohiense. RNAcentral describes it as "hypothetical lncRNA". The record is from RNAcentral. Lineage: Eukaryota; Fungi; Ascomycota; Eurotiomycetes; Onygenales; Ajellomycetaceae.
UAAGAUGUUCUCGUACCUGGAUUUUGAUUACAUCCUUUCUUCAACAGAACAACUCACAUGAAGCUUUUUAAACCUUACCACGGCUCUGUCAGGCGGCCCAGGGCCCUGGAUGAGAGUAUUUUUAUGACAAAGGAUCGAUCCUUGUGAUGCAGUGGAAAGUUCUCUCUUAUCUGUUAACUUAAAAGAUUCAGAAUUGGGUGUCAAAGAUUUCCAUUUCCAUUUCUAAUAUUCCAGCUUCAAGCUUGGGGUGGUGAGAAAUUUGAACAGUUUCUACCAGGUAGAGACUCGUGGAAGACAAAAAGUACACAAUGAUUGUGUCUAUAGUUUCUGCGUAUGUUUCUCAUUGUCCGGUAGUGCAAUUAUGUAUAGAGCUGUGCCAGCAAGUCCAUCGGAGGCGGAUCAUGUUUAUUGUUGAAAAGGAAUAACUAUAUGAUAUACUUAAGAGUCUACAUCUGUACUCUGUACUCCGUACAGAUGUAAAUCUACCAUCAGACAAAUUUUAUUAGGGCUAAUGGCCUGUUCGGUGUGGCCGUGUGUACUCGUUCUUUUUGUACGGAUCUCCACUUUUUUAAAAAGUACAGCUCAAUAUGACAACUGUUUGGUGGGCAGAGCAGCUGUACUAAUAUUACAGCUUCUUUUUGCAAAGUAUGGAUGAAAAAGAUCAGAUGUUCGGUGAAUUGAGUGGCUGUACUCACAUGUUUCACCAAGAUCAUAUGAAUAAGCAGUAUUUAACUUCAACAGUGUGUGACAAUGUAGAAUAGUGUAAAAUAGCAUUCAUAGUGAAGAUAGUUAACUAAUAUUGAUUAGAAAGAAGAUUGUCAGUGA